Molecule: long non-coding RNA, 619 nt
Filed under: Cyanistes caeruleus (blue tit)
Lineage: Eukaryota; Metazoa; Chordata; Aves; Passeriformes; Paridae
Description: lncRNA (ENSCCEG00000004487.1)
Source: RNAcentral
CUCUCAGUAUCCUUCCCUACAAAUUCUGUCUUUAAGUUCUUAAGUCUAUAUAGACUAAGCAGAGGGGAUUUUGCUACUUUGGGAAAAAAGUGAAUUCUUUGACCUUGAAACAUUACUUGGAUUUUUUCUUUUUUUCUUGUUUGUCUGCAGUGAGAAUAGUAUCACUUUGUGAAGACACUACAAAAAAAAUAAUUUCAGGAGUCCUCUUGUCAUCUACAAGAAGAAGGAUUCACAGAUGUUUUAGCUGCAGGUCUAUAGGAAAGGUUUGUACAGUGCUGUUGUGAAAUCAAGGAUUUCCUGGACAAGGCAGUCUUUCUAUGAGGUUCAGUUUGUUUUCUGGACUACCUUUGAAAAACCACUGAUACAACCUUAUGAAGUCCCUCACUGCACAAACAAAAAUAUCUGUGGAAGACCACCAAAACCAACUGAUUGAGAAGUGAUGACUUGAUCCAUGGACAUUUGAUGAUUUAACAUUAUGACUGGAGGAACAAUAGGCAAUGAAAAUGCUGUAAUUCCAUAAAGAUGAAACACCAAGACAUGUCAGGCCCUUCCUUUGUGGCAUUCAGUGUCAAGCCCAGAUGCAUUUGUUCUCAGAUCUCCUUCUUUAAAAAACAAUAGG